GAAAUGCGAUAAGUAAUGUGAAGUGCAGAAUUCAGUGAAUCAUCGAAUCUUUGAACGCACCUUGCGCUCCUUGGUAUUCCUUGGAGCAUGCCUGGUUGAGUAUCAUGAAAUCUUCAAAGUAAAUCUUUUGUUAACUCAAUUGGUUUCUACUUUGGUAUUGGAGGUCUUUGCAGCUUCACACCUGCUCCUCUUUGUUCAUUAGCUGGAUCUCAGUGUUAUGCUUGGUUCCACUCGGCGUGAUAAGUUAUCUAUCGCUGAGGACACUGUAAAAGGUGGCCAAGGUAAAUGCAGAUGAACCGCUUCUAAUAGUCCAUUGACUUGGACAAUACUUUUAUGAUCUGAUCUCAAAUCAGGUAGGACUACCCGCUGAACUUAAGC
Molecule: unclassified non-coding RNA, 378 nt
Filed under: plant metagenome
Description: partial contains 5.8S ribosomal RNA, internal transcribed spacer 2, and large subunit ribosomal RNA
Rfam family: 5.8S ribosomal RNA (bases 1-105)
Source: RNAcentral